Molecule: non-coding RNA, 1152 nt
Organism: Physcomitrium patens
Lineage: Eukaryota; Viridiplantae; Streptophyta; Bryopsida; Funariales; Funariaceae
Source: RefSeq, a predicted model, not a curated record
AGAGAGUGAGCCUCACGACGCCUGAGCAACACUGUGUCAGGUCCUCGCCAGGACCAGUUACGGCGUAGGUUUCACGAAGCGGACGACCAGCGACUGGCUCCGACAUCAACGCAGGCCGUGGCGCAACCCGCCGGAAGUUGAAAAUAUUACUGACACCAAGCGGAAUUGCCACUGCUAUUGAUAUUUUUAUUGGGGUGCGUUUUCACCGGUGCUUGAGGCAAAGCGAAGCGGUGGAUUCUACGGGGCUUGAAAAUCACUGAUGAUCGACUGGUGAUUGGGGGAUUAAGUGUGAGAGAGAGAAAGUGAAGAAUCUGUAAUGGGGGAGGUUGAUCAGCUGUUGGAAGAAAUGCGACUGGUGCCGGCGCGUCUCAAGCUCGUGAUAUGUCUGCCACGUAUUCUCAACCACGCAGAGCGCAAAAGUCAUUGAAGGAGAGAUCAUGCUUAUCCGAUGUAGCCCAGUUUGUUGACCUGGAACUGGAAGUGAAAAACCUGGAGGUCUCCUUUCAAUAGUUCUGCGUGGAUCAUCUAGCUCCCAGCGACUGGAGGAGAUGUUGGAGCGAAUCCAUCACGACUCUGUAUACGAAUUUUAGUCAGAGUACAGUUGGAUACUGGAUUUUCCGGUGUUGUCCUUGGCCACAUCGAGAAGUGGAAAGCGGCGUGCGGGUUGCAGCGGAGAACCACUGGUUCAUCCCAAAAGAUCGACGCUGCGGUUCUUCGACUCCUCAACCAGACAUCGAUCGGUGGGGAUGACAGUUGGUACGUUCCAAACCUAUCGCGGAGACGGAUGGUUCCCUAGAUCUUUGCUGUUCCAACAGUAGGACGAAUAAGAAGUAGGUAGGAGUUGUAUGGGAGCCACUCAUUGAGGUAACCAAAGCUAAGAGUCCAGGCUGCGUUACGUUUUCUUAUCCUCGAUGUACCAACUCGUGGUCACAGUUACUUUGGUGAUUGAAUCACUGGACUUGCACCAUUCAAUCUCCAUCGCCUUGCACGAGACCUUCAUACAUGAGAACUGGUUUGUUAUAAUUUACUGCUAUACAAUUUGUUCGUUCGAUUUGUCGACCGUAUGUCUGCUGAUAUAACUGGCGAUACGGCAUCAAUAGAGAAUGUAUGAUCAGGAAUCAUAGUCGGGAAGUAAAGUCGAUUUGCAGUCAA